Molecule: ribosomal RNA, 499 nt
Filed under: Hydriomena furcata
Lineage: Eukaryota; Metazoa; Arthropoda; Insecta; Lepidoptera; Geometridae
Description: partial 28S ribosomal RNA
Source: RNAcentral
UAAGCGGGGAGUUCAAGAGUACGUGAAACCGCUCAGGGGUAAACCUGCGAAACUCGAAUGAACGAACGGGGAGAUUCAUCGUUAUUCCGUGGCGUGGUGGCGCGCUCUCGAUACCGUUUCGGCUUCGGCCCCGGCGGUACGGGGCGCGUCGUUCGACGUUCUCGGACGGCGUGCACUUCUCCCUUAGUAAUACAUCGCGACCCGUUCGACGUCGGUCUAAGCUCCGUUCGGGAGUCUCUGUCUCACCUCUCGGGGUGAGGCGGCGACCGUGACGGUAGCCGACCGGCUGUCGGACGGUAAUCCAACGGAUCGCGUACGCGUUAACGCGCGUCCGGCCCGACGCAAGGUGUCGCGUCGCUCACUCCCGUCCUGCCCGAGCGCGGGCGGGGGUGCGGCGCGCCUGUCGUCGCAGCCGUGCUGUCUCGGACUGUGCGCGUACCGUGUCUGCGAUGAUUCAGUUUCGGGCACUCGCAGGACCCGUCUUGAAAACGGGGACCCA